Molecule: long non-coding RNA, 1023 nt
Organism: Alnus glutinosa
Lineage: Eukaryota; Viridiplantae; Streptophyta; Magnoliopsida; Fagales; Betulaceae
Exons: 3
Source: RefSeq, a predicted model, not a curated record
ACUUACACGAGAACAACACUUUAUAACACUUGACAGUGUAAAUUGGUUUGCACGAAGACCCUCAAUUCGCAUAUCAUUAAAGAGGUCCAACACCAUUCUAGAUGCCCCAAUUCGUACAUAGCCCGAUAUAAGGAUUGUUCCCGUACGAAUAUCUCUUUCAGAAAUUUCGUCGAACAACUUCUGUGCACAAUCCAAAUCUUUAGGAUUCCCGUUCAAAUUCAGAAUAUGAUUACCCGUAUACAGAUUAACAAUAUGAUUACCCCAAAUCCAAAUCUCGAGAUUUCACGAACAUCUCCCUUGCCAUCUCAACCCGUGAAAUAGUCAUUUUAUUCUACAGACUUAUUUUGCGAACUAAACGAGGCCUAAAGGAAUAAACGCAACAAUCCUAUCGCUCAUUUCCCCUGGGGCUAUAACACGGACUCGCCGAUUUCUUGUGCGGCCAGAAGAAUCAGAACCCCCUCUACUUUUGUUAUCCCACUCCAAUUGUGGAUAUUCAAGCCUCCUACAGACUCCUUAAUGCUUCCAUUUACUAGUAACGUUGCUGGAGCCUGGAAUCUAUAGUGGCAUUGAGAGGAAGAACGCUGCCCCGGAAAAGAGCUUUCCUAUGUCCCAAGAGGAAUUUGUACAGAGAAGCACAUUAGAUAGGCUACAAAACAAACUUCUACUGCCAUUAAUAUUAUUUGUAGGGAUCAGCUAGAUUUGGUACCCUUGGAGCGGCUUUAUCUAGUUCAGAGCUCACUAGCUCACAAGAAGUUAUCCUUCUCUUAAUUAAUGUACCGUUUGUUUCAACGUUAAAUGUUUUCGACAUUUUUCGGUGUUUGGUGAUGGCAAAAAUAAUGGUCAACAGAAAUCAUUUUCAGUUUGACUUCGUACUGGCCGGAUUCUAAAGAUUCUGGAAAAGCUCGGUCGGGAGGCACAAUUAGUAUUUGUCCAUACGACCAUGUUUUAUUUAAGGAAAUUAAAGCUCAAGAUGACUUCCAAGACUCGGGUGGCCGGACUUCUGUCAAACGGGUUGAACAGAAU